Paramuricea clavata is the source of this 243-nucleotide non-coding RNA. NCBI's taxonomy places the organism in Eukaryota, Metazoa, Cnidaria, Anthozoa, Malacalcyonacea, Plexauridae. The record is from the annotation of a GenBank genome assembly.
UACUUUUCUACAUGACAAUGAGCGCUUAAUCUUUUAGAAGUUUUCGUUGAAGUCAUGGCAUAUAGGAAGUAUCAAGAGCAACAUUUGGACAUAUCCUGACAUACUCGAGUUUCCCGAUUGAUUGUUUGUCAUUGUUAACAAAAUUUAAAUUUCGCCUACUGCGUUGCUUUAGCACUUUAUAUACACCGAUUGUUUGCUGUACAUGCGAGAAGAUGAUCACAAUAUUAUUCUACGUAAACAUCG